UGAGGAAUCUUCCGCAAUGGACGAAAGUCUGACGGAGCAACGCCGCGUGCAGGAUGACGGCCUUCGGGUUGUAAACUGCUUUUAUUUGGGAAGAUUGUGACGGUACCAAAUGAAUAAGGACCGGCUAACUACGUGCCAGCAGCCGCGGUAAUACGUAGGGUCCAAGCGUUAUCCGGAAUCACUGGGCGUAAAGCGUGCGUAGGUGGUAAUUCACGUGCAAUGCGAAAUCGUGUGGCUCAACCAUACGACGGUAGUGCAUACGGGAUUACUAGAGGACAUGAGAGGCAAGUGGAAUUACUGGUGUAGCAGUGAAAUGCGUAGAUAUCAGUAGGAACACCAAUGGCGAAGGCAGCUUGCUGGCAUGUAUCUGACGCUAAGGCACGAAAGCGUGGGGAGCGAACAGG
Molecule: ribosomal RNA, 404 nt
Filed under: uncultured bacterium
Lineage: Bacteria
Description: bacterial SSU rRNA
Rfam family: Bacterial small subunit ribosomal RNA
Source: RNAcentral